This 1550-nucleotide ribosomal RNA is filed under the name Klebsiella pneumoniae. RNAcentral describes it as "bacterial SSU rRNA". It matches the Rfam family "Bacterial small subunit ribosomal RNA". Lineage: Bacteria; Pseudomonadati; Pseudomonadota; Gammaproteobacteria; Enterobacterales; Enterobacteriaceae. The record is from RNAcentral.
AAAUUGAAGAGUUUGAUCAUGGCUCAGAUUGAACGCUGGCGGCAGGCCUAACACAUGCAAGUCGAGCGGUAGCACAGAGAGCUUGCUCUCGGGUGACGAGCGGCGGACGGGUGAGUAAUGUCUGGGAAACUGCCUGAUGGAGGGGGAUAACUACUGGAAACGGUAGCUAAUACCGCAUAACGUCGCAAGACCAAAGUGGGGGACCUUCGGGCCUCAUGCCAUCAGAUGUGCCCAGAUGGGAUUAGCUAGUAGGUGGGGUAACGGCUCACCUAGGCGACGAUCCCUAGCUGGUCUGAGAGGAUGACCAGCCACACUGGAACUGAGACACGGUCCAGACUCCUACGGGAGGCAGCAGUGGGGAAUAUUGCACAAUGGGCGCAAGCCUGAUGCAGCCAUGCCGCGUGUGUGAAGAAGGCCUUCGGGUUGUAAAGCACUUUCAGCGGGGAGGAAGGCGUUAAGGUUAAUAACCUUGGCGAUUGACGUUACCCGCAGAAGAAGCACCGGCUAACUCCGUGCCAGCAGCCGCGGUAAUACGGAGGGUGCAAGCGUUAAUCGGAAUUACUGGGCGUAAAGCGCACGCAGGCGGUCUGUCAAGUCGGAUGUGAAAUCCCCGGGCUCAACCUGGGAACUGCAUUCGAAACUGGCAGGCUAGAGUCUUGUAGAGGGGGGUAGAAUUCCAGGUGUAGCGGUGAAAUGCGUAGAGAUCUGGAGGAAUACCGGUGGCGAAGGCGGCCCCCUGGACAAAGACUGACGCUCAGGUGCGAAAGCGUGGGGAGCAAACAGGAUUAGAUACCCUGGUAGUCCACGCCGUAAACGAUGUCGAUUUGGAGGUUGUGCCCUUGAGGCGUGGCUUCCGGAGCUAACGCGUUAAAUCGACCGCCUGGGGAGUACGGCCGCAAGGUUAAAACUCAAAUGAAUUGACGGGGGCCCGCACAAGCGGUGGAGCAUGUGGUUUAAUUCGAUGCAACGCGAAGAACCUUACCUGGUCUUGACAUCCACAGAACUUUCCAGAGAUGGAUUGGUGCCUUCGGGAACUGUGAGAGAGGUGCUGCAUGGCUGUCGUCAGCUCGUGUUGUGAAAUGUUGGGUUAAGUCCCGCAACGAGCGCAACCCUUAUCCUUUGUUGCCAGCGGUCCGGCCGGGAACUCAAAGGAGACUGCCAGUGAUAAACUGGAGGAAGGUGGGGAUGACGUCAAGUCAUCAUGGCCCUUACGACCAGGGCUACACACGUGCUACAAUGGCAUAUACAAAGAGAAGCGACCUCGCGAGAGCAAGCGGACCUCAUAAAGUAUGUCGUAGUCCGGAUUGGAGUCUGCAACUCGACUCCAUGAAGUCGGAAUCGCUAGUAAUCGUAGAUCAGAAUGCUACGGUGAAUACGUUCCCGGGCCUUGUACACACCGCCCGUCACACCAUGGGAGUGGGUUGCAAAAGAAGUAGGUAGCUUAACCUUCGGGAGGGCGCUUACCACUUUGUGAUUCAUGACUGGGGUGAAGUCGUAACAAGGUAACCGUAGGGGAACCUGCGGUUGGAUCACCUCCUUACCUUAAAGAA